UACAGAGGGUGCAAGCGUUGUUCGGAAUUACUGGGCGUAAAGCGCGUGUAGGUGGUGAUGUAAGUCGGAUGUGAAAUCCCUUGGCUUAACCAAGGAAGUGCACCCGAUACUGCGUCGCUUGAGUGUCGGAGGGGAUGGCGGAAUUCCCGGUGUAGAGGUGAAAUUCGUAGAUAUCGGGAGGAACACCUGUGGCGAAGGCGGCCAUCUGGACGAUUACUGACACUGAGACGCGAAAGCGUGGGUAGCAAACAGG
Molecule: ribosomal RNA, 253 nt
Filed under: uncultured bacterium
Lineage: Bacteria
Description: partial 16S ribosomal RNA
Rfam family: Bacterial small subunit ribosomal RNA
Source: RNAcentral